Molecule: long non-coding RNA, 1314 nt
Filed under: Zea mays
Lineage: Eukaryota; Viridiplantae; Streptophyta; Magnoliopsida; Poales; Poaceae
Description: long non-coding RNA (ZMAY_LNC003105)
Source: RNAcentral
UUCGAACGAAUUCGGAUCCUUUACCACACAAUCGGCUUCUAAUAACGAUUCGCAUAUCGUACAAACAAAAGAAAUCAUUCACCAAUAAAUACACACGCACCAUUCAACAAACAAUGAAACAUACACUUUACAAAUCAUACAUAUAAAAGGAAGACAUCUAAAAAUAAACCUUGAUUUGUAAUUAUAAUAUAAGUCUAUCCAUAUCGACGAUAGUCUCAUUUGCUACGAGGUAAACUACUAAUAAUUUAGUCUCGAGAAUACACUAGAGGAAUCUAUAUGGCAAAUUGACUAUGGAGGUAUAUACUAUAUGGAUUCAUUUAAAAAUACAUAAAUGUGGUGCUAAUUCAAACUUUAUAGAAUCUAGAAAAUUAACCAAUUAAUUAUUGUAUUUCUACCGGAAAGGAUGUAGGUAAUAUUUUAUUAUUUCUUUCUAAAAGAAAAUUAUAGUAAACGUUACAACCUUAUUUAAAAAGUCACAUAACCUUGAUAUUUAAAAGAACUAAAUUAACCUACCAAUUUAAUUCUACUAUUUAGUUUAUAGUAGACAUAGUCGCUAUAUUAUUUUAUUAAUCGAGGCUCUAGCAUGACUAGCAAUUUGUAUAUAAUCACACAUACGAACACAUACGGUGUGACUAAAAUAUAUAAUUCAUUCUGAGCAAAGACAACCGUAGAAUUAUUCAUCUAGUAUUAUUGUUACAAAUAUAUGGUUUACCUAUCCCUUAAUCUUUUACUCUAACAAACUAUAUUUAAAUUAAUGUCAACAAUCAUAAUCAAAUUAAAAUACACAAACGUGAAAGACAGCAUACACUAAUUAAAAUAGAUCAUCACAUACAUAUGAAAUUAAUCGUUCAGUAUAAACAUGAUUUCAGACUCAAAAUUCACAACUAAAAAUUAUAAUUCGCCACAGAAGUUAGAUCGUGAUUAACUAACUCUUUUGAACUAAGAAAUAAUCUCACACAAAAUAAUCUAUCUAUAGGGAUUAGACACAAAAUAUUCUUUUUCUACCUCUCCUUUCUCUUGUGCAGUGAACGAGGACGAAUGGGGCAGGUAGUCGGGUGUCGGGGGAAAGUCGUCGGGACGCAGCGUCGGCUUCGGAGUUCCGGUCAACGGUGAACGGCUCCAGCGGCGAGCGGCUCCGGUCAGCGGUGAACGGUGAGGACCAUGCCACGGAGGAGGGAGUUCGAUGGAGGUGCGGCUGGGGAGCUCGGAGUGGGCUUGGGACGGAUGGGGACUGGCUCUAUGGGGGCACGGUCGAGUUUUGUAGAGGUGUGGGAAGGUGUAACGGACGCCGGUAGAGCUUCAUUGGCCAUUAAU